AGUUUGAUUCAAAUAAGAUUGGAACUGCUGAAAGCAGGGAUGUUUACACAUGGGUGAACGGCAGCACGGACUUCGGUCUGGGCGGCAGUGGCACGGGCUUGGAACGAUGUGUAUCGGAACGUGCCUAGUAGCGGGGGAUAACGCUGCGCGAAAGCGUAGCAGCUAAUCUCCAUCACGCCCUUCCCGGGGAAAGCAGGGGGACCUUCGGGCCUCGCACUAUUAGAGCGGCCGAUAUCGGAUUAGCUAGUUGGUGGGGUAACGGCUCACCAAGGCGACGAUCCGUAGCUGGUUUGAGGAAGGACGACCAGCCACACUGGGACUGAGACACGGCCCAGACUCCUACAGGAGGCAGCAGUGGGGAAUUUUGGACAAUGGGGAAACCCUGAAGAUCCAGCCAUCCGCGUGUGCGAUGAAGGCCUUCGGGUUGUAAAAAGCACUUUUGGCAGGAAAGAAACGGCGGGAUAAUACCCCGUGCAACUGACGAGUACCUGCAGAAUAAGCACCGGCUAACUACGUGCCAACAGCCGCGGUAAUACGUAAAAGUGCAAAGCGUUAAUCGGAAUUACUGGGCGUAAAGCGUGCGCAGGCGGUUCCGGAAAAGAUGUGAAAUCCAGAGCUUAACUUUGGAACUGCAUUUUUAACUGAGGCUUCAAGUGUGAUAGAGGAGGUAAAAUUCACGCCGUGUAGCUGGCAGUGAAAUGCGUAGAUAUGCGGAGGAACACCGAUGGCGAAGGCAGCCUCCUGGGGAUAACACUGACGCUCAUGCACAGCAUUAGGGAGCAAACUGGUUAUGAUCACCUGGUGAAGGUCGCCUGACCGAUAUUCAGCUAUUUAUUUGGGCCUUCCGGGCAGCGAUGGCCGCAACUAACGCGUCAGUUGACCGCCUGGGAAUGCAGUCGCAAGAUUAAAACUCGGGAAUUGACGGGGCCCGCACAAGCGGUGGAUGAUGUGGAUCAAUUCGAUGCAACGCGAAAAACCUUACCUACCCUUGACAUCAUCCAGAUCCCGAAGAGAUUUGGAGUGUCUCAAGAGAACCGGAACAGGUGCUGCAUGGCUGUCGUCAGCUCGUGUCGUGAGAUGUUGGGUUAAGUCCACCUUGAGCGCAACCCUUGUCAUUAGUUACACUUUACGAAAGACAUCUAAUGGACUGUAGGUGACAAACUGGAGGGAAGGUGGGGAUGACGCUAAGGUCAUAUGGCCUGUGGUGGGGCUUCACGUCAUGCAAUGGGUGGACCAGAGGUCGCUGGCGCUUCCGCGGGGGUAAUCCCGAGGAAGCGAUCUCGUGAUCCGGAUCAUGAUCUGCAACUCGACUGCGUGAAGUCCGGAAUCACUUCGUGGUAUCGCGCGGAUUAAUAUGUCGCGCGAUGGAGAAACCACGUUCCCGGGUCUGCUGCACACCGCCGUCACUGCUGUACGGGAGUGGGUUUACCAGUAAGUUAGCCUAACCGUAAGGAGGGCGAUUACCGGUAGGAUUCAUGACUGGGGUGAAGUCGUAACAAGUUUAACUCUGGCGGCUUACUGCCUGAACAACCA
This 1533-nucleotide ribosomal RNA is filed under the name uncultured Bordetella sp. Its description in RNAcentral is "partial 16S-23S ribosomal RNA intergenic spacer". It matches the Rfam family "Bacterial small subunit ribosomal RNA". Lineage: Bacteria; Pseudomonadati; Pseudomonadota; Betaproteobacteria; Burkholderiales; Alcaligenaceae. The record is from RNAcentral.